GAUGAACGCUGGCGGCGUGCCUAAUACAUGCAAGUCGAGCGAACAGACGAGGAGCUUGCUCCUCUGACGUUAGCGGCGGACGGGUGAGUAACACGUGGAUAACCUACCUAUAAGACUGGGAUAACUUCGGGAAACCGGAGCUAAUACCGGAUAAUAUAUUGAACCGCAUGGUUCAAUAGUGAAAGACGGUUUUGCUGUCACUUAUAGAUGGAUCCGCGCCGCAUUAGCUAGUUGGUAAGGUAACGGCUUACCAAGGCAACGAUGCGUAGCCGACCUGAGAGGGUGAUCGGCCACACUGGAACUGAGACACGGUCCAGACUCCUACGGGAGGCAGCAGUAGGGAAUCUUCCGCAAUGGGCGAAAGCUUGACGGAGCAACGCCGCGUGAGUGAUGAAGGUCUUCGGAUCGUAAAACUCUGUUAUUAGGGAAGAACAAAUAUGUAAGUAACUAUGCACGUCUUGACGGUACCUAAUCAGAAAGCCACGGCUAACUACGU
Molecule: ribosomal RNA, 496 nt
Filed under: uncultured bacterium
Lineage: Bacteria
Description: partial 16S ribosomal RNA
Rfam family: Bacterial small subunit ribosomal RNA
Source: RNAcentral